Molecule: ribosomal RNA, 468 nt
Filed under: uncultured bacterium
Lineage: Bacteria
Description: partial 16S ribosomal RNA
Rfam family: Bacterial small subunit ribosomal RNA
Source: RNAcentral
GACGAACGCUGGCGGCGUGCUUAACACAUGCCGGUCGAACGGAAAGGCCCUGCUUUUGUGGGGUGCUCGAGUGGCGAACGGGUGAGUAACACGUGAGUAACCUGCCCUUGACUUUGGGAUAACUUCAGGAAACUGGGGCUAAUACCGGAUAGGAGCUCCUGCUGCAUGGUGGGGGUUGGAAAGUUUCGGCGGUUGGGGAUGGACUCGCGGCUUAUCAGCUUGUUGGUGGGGUAGUGGCUUACCAAGGCUUUGACGGGUAGCCGGUCUGAGAGGGUGACCGGCCACAUUGGGACUGAGAUACGGCCCAGACUCCUACGGGAGGCAGCAGUGGGGAAUAUUGCACAAUGGGCGGAAGCCUGAUGCAGCAACGCCGCGUGCGGGAUGACGGCCUUCGGGUUGUAAACCGCUUUCGCCUGUGACGAAGCGUGAGUGACGGUAAUGGGUAAAGAAGCACCGGCUAACUACGUG